RNAcentral lists this ribosomal RNA (1089 nucleotides) under uncultured bacterium. RNAcentral describes it as "bacterial SSU rRNA". It matches the Rfam family "Bacterial small subunit ribosomal RNA", at positions 77 to 1173 of the family's 1533-position model. The record is from RNAcentral.
AGCUUGCUUACUAGAGACCGGCGCACGGGUGCGUAACGCGUAUGCAAUCUACCUUAUACAGGGGAAUAGCCCAGAGAAAUUUGGAUUAAUGCCCCAUGGUAUUAUGAAAUCGCAUGGUUUUAUAAUUAAAGUUCCAACGGUAUAAGAUGAGCAUGCGUCCCAUUAGUUAGUUGGUAAGGUAACGGCUUACCAAGACGAUGAUGGGUAGGGGUCCUGAGAGGGAGAUCCCCCACACUGGUACUGAGACACGGACCAGACUCCUACGGGAGGCAGCAGUGAGGAAUAUUGGGCAAUGGAGGCAACUCUGACCCAGCCAUGCCGCGUGCAGGAAGACGGUCCUAUGGAUUGUAAACUGCUUUUAUACGGGAAGAAACACCCCCUCGUGAGGGGGCUUGACGGUACCGUAAGAAUAAGGAUCGGCUAACUCCGUGCCAGCAGCCGCGGUAAUACGGAGGAUCCAAGCGUUAUCCGGAAUCAUUGGGUUUAAAGGGUCCGUAGGCGGCCUUAUAAGUCAGUGGUGAAAUCUUCCAGCUCAACUGGGAAACUGCCAUUGAUACUGUAGGGCUUGAAUUAUUGUGAAGUAACUAGAAUAUGUAGUGUAGCGGUGAAAUGCUUAGAUAUUACAUGGAAUACCAAUUGCGAAGGCAGGUUACUAACAAUACAUUGACGCUGAUGGACGAAAGCGUGGGGAGCGAACAGGAUUAGAUACCCUGGUAGUCCACGCCGUAAACGAUGGAUACUAGCUGUUGGGCGCAAGUUCAGUGGCUAAGCGAAAGUGAUAAGUAUCCCACCUGGGGAGUACGAACGCAAGUUUGAAACUCAAAGGAAUUGACGGGGGCCCGCACAAGCGGUGGAGCAUGUGGUUUAAUUCGAUGAUACGCGAGGAACCUUACCAAGGCUUAAAUGUAGAUUGACAGGUUUGGAAACAGACUUUUCUUCGGACAAUUUACAAGGUGCUGCAUGGUUGUCGUCAGCUCGUGCCGUGAGGUGUCAGGUUAAGUCCUAUAACGAGCGCAACCCCUGUUGUUAGUUGCCAGCGAGUCAUGUCGGGAACUCUAACGAGACUGCCAGUGCAAACUGUGAGGAAGG